GACGAGGGGUCCUAGCGUUGUUCGGAAUUAUUGGGCGUAAAGCGUGUGUAGGCGGCCUAGCAAGUCAGUUGUGAAAGCCCCGGGCUCAACCCGGGAAGUGCUUCUGAUACUGCUUGGCUUGAGUACUGGAGAGGAUAGUGGAAUUCCAGGUGUAGUGGUGAAAUGCGCAGAUAUCAGGAAGAACACCUAUGGCGAAGGCAGCUCUCUGGGACGGUACUGACGCUGAGACGCGAAAGCGUGGGGAGCGAACAGG
RNAcentral lists this ribosomal RNA (253 nucleotides) under uncultured bacterium. RNAcentral describes it as "partial 16S ribosomal RNA". It matches the Rfam family "Bacterial small subunit ribosomal RNA", at positions 524 to 776 of the family's 1533-position model. The record is from RNAcentral.